This 740-nucleotide long non-coding RNA is filed under the name Pongo abelii (Sumatran orangutan). Its description in RNAcentral is "lincRNA". The record is from RNAcentral. Lineage: Eukaryota; Metazoa; Chordata; Mammalia; Primates; Hominidae.
AGAGCAUUUAACAUAACUGUCUUCAUCAUCUCCUUCUCUAAUUAAAAACUAUGGUUCACAAAGACAUUAUUGGUGAUUCAAUCUUGAGUCAUGAAAAGCCAACCUUGAGCCACAAAAAGUCAACCUUGAGCCAAGCAGAGUGGAGAGUCAUACUGGCCAUUCCUGGGACCAUCAAAAAUGGCAGAGGUCACACAAAAGGCAAAACCUUUAAGAGGUGUUUUAAACAUCGUAUGGGCCAAAGAGAAUCUGGAUUUCCUAUUGCAGUCAGCUGUAACACACGUGUGACAAAUUGGGCUGUGAGGACAAGGCAGUGAGUAGAGACGACAGCAGUCCUUAUGAGAUCAAGCUCUAAGGUAUCCUAGAUACAUUUGGAGAAUUCACCUGAGCUACAGGAUGUGAAAAGUUGCUAAAACCGCUGUGAGAUUCUGGCUAAGAAAAUUUCAUGAGAAGUUUUACAGAAAAAUGUGAACAGAAGAAAGAACUAGAUAUAAAUUUGAAUGUUUUGAGAAGAAUGCAAAGAAGAAGGGAAGAGUGAGCCUCUCUUUUCCCAUCGUUACCCUCCAUUGUCCUCUUGACACCCUGCUUUUGCAGACAGAGAGUUUGAGACCCUCUCCCAGGAGCCAAGGAGAGGGGAACAGCUGGCUUCACAUCAUCUUUCUAUUCAACAAGACACAAAAAGCUGAAGCCAGGAUGAUAGAAAAGCAACAAAGAAGACACGGUCCUUACUCAUUUCCCUUCCC